Molecule: ribosomal RNA, 546 nt
Filed under: uncultured bacterium
Lineage: Bacteria
Description: partial 16S ribosomal RNA
Rfam family: Bacterial small subunit ribosomal RNA
Source: RNAcentral
UGGGGAAUAUUGCACAAUGGGCGAAAGCCUGAUGCAGCAACGCCGCGUGAGUGAUGAAGGUCUUCGGAUUGUAAAGCUCUGUCUUUUGGGACGAUAAUGACGGUACCAAAGGAGGAAGCCACGGCUAACUACGUGCCAGCAGCCGCGGUAAUACGUAGGUGGCGAGCGUUGUCCGGAUUUACUGGGCGUAAAGGGUGCGUAGGCGGAUGUUUAAGUGAGAUGUGAAAUACCCGGGCUUAACUUGGGUGCUGCAUUUCAAACUGGAUAUCUAGAGUGCAGGAGAGGAGAAUGGAAUUCCUAGUGUAGCGGUGAAAUGCGUAGAGAUUAGGAAGAACACCAGUGGCGAAGGCGAUUCUCUGGACUGUAACUGACGCUGAGGCACGAAAGCGUGGGUAGCAAACAGGAUUAGAUACCCUGGUAGUCCACGCCGUAAACGAUGAGUACUAGGUGUAGGAGGUAUCGACCCCUUCUGUGCCGCAGUAAACACAUUAAGUACUCCGCCUGGGGAAGUACGAUCGCAAGAUUAAAACUCUAAAGUGAAUUGAC